AUUGAACGCUGGCGGCAUGCCUAACACAUGCAAGUCGAACGGAGGUAGGGGCAACUCUACUUCAGUGGCGGACGGGUGAGGAAUGCGUCGGAAUCUACCCUAUGGUGGGGGAUAACACAGGGAAACUUGUGCUAAUACCGCAUAAUGUCGAGAGACCAAAGCAGGGGACCGCAAGGCCUUGCGCGAUAGGAUGAGCCGACGCCCGAUUAGCUAGUUGGUAGGGUAAAGGCCUACCAAGGCGACGAUCGGUAGCUGGUCUGAGAGGAUGAUCAGCCACACUGGGACUGAGACACGGCCCAGACUCCUACGGGAGGCAGCAGUGGGGAAUAUUGGGCAAUGGGCGCAAGCCUGAUCCAGCAAUGCCGCGUGUGUGAAGAAGGCCUGCGGGUUUGUAAAGCACUUUUGUUCGGGAAAAAUCAUGCUGGUUAAUACCUGGUAUGGAUGACGGUACCGAAAGAAUAAGCACCGGCUAACUUCGUGCC
This 482-nucleotide ribosomal RNA is filed under the name uncultured bacterium. RNAcentral's name for it is "bacterial SSU rRNA". It matches the Rfam family "Bacterial small subunit ribosomal RNA", at positions 30 to 509 of the family's 1533-position model. The record is from RNAcentral.